RNAcentral lists this ribosomal RNA (506 nucleotides) under uncultured bacterium. RNAcentral describes it as "partial 16S ribosomal RNA". It matches the Rfam family "Bacterial small subunit ribosomal RNA", at positions 29 to 523 of the family's 1533-position model. The record is from RNAcentral.
AGUGAACGCUGGCGGUAGGCCUAACACAUGCAAGUCGAACGGCAGCACAGGAGAGCUUGCUCUCUGGGUGGCGAGUGGCGGACGGGUGAGGAAUACAUCGGAAUCUACUCUGUCGUGGGGGAUAACGUAGGGAAACUUACGCCAAUACCGCAUACGACCUACGGGUGAAAGCAGGGGAUCUUCGGACCUUGCGCGAUUGAAUGAGCCGAUGUCGGAUUAGCUAGUUGGCGGGGUAAAGGCCCACCAAGGCGACGAUCCGUAGCUGGUCUGAGAGGAUGAUCAGCCACACUGGAACUGAGACACGGUCCAGACUCCUACGGGAGGCAGCAGUGGGGAAUAUUGGACAAUGGGCGCAAGCCUGAUCCAGCCAUACCGCGUGGGUGAAGAAGGCCUUCGGGUUGUAAAGCCCUUUUGUUGGGUAAGAAAUCCAGCUGGCUAAUACCCGGUUGGGAUGACGGUACCCAAAGAAUAAGCACCGGCUAACUUCGUGCCAGCAGCCGCGGUAA